UCUCGUAGGUGACCUGCGGAGGGAUCAUUACCAAAGAUGGCGGGCCUUCGGGUCCCCGUCCCCAACCCUUUGUUGACCCAAAACCUUUUUGCCUCGGGGGCAGAGCGUCCGCCGCCGCCCCCGGAGGACCACCGAACGCUGUCUCUUUACGUCGGAGUAUUGAUUUAAAUAAAUGAAAACUUUUAACAACGGAUCUCUUGGUUCUGGCAUCGAUGAAGAACGCAGCGAAAUGCGAUAAGUAAUGUGAAUUGCAGAAUUCAGUGAAUCAUCGAAUCUUUGAACGCACAUUGCGCCCUUUGGCAUUCCGAAGGGCAUGCCCGUUCGAGCGUCAUUAAAUCCAAUCAAGCCUGGCUUGGUAUUGGGCGCCGGGGACUCCCCGCGCCUUCAUUUCACCGGCUGGCCGUCGCCUGUCUUAGCGUUGUGGUACACUCCUCGCUAGCGAUAGGAACGGAUCACGCCGUCAAAACCACAUAAAUUUCAACUCGAAAUUUGAUUAAGGUUGACCUCGGAUCGGGUAGGAAUACCCGCUGAACUUAAGCAUAUCAAUAAGCGGAGGAA
Molecule: ribosomal RNA, 558 nt
Filed under: Ascomycota sp. CH-Nl20
Lineage: Eukaryota; Fungi; Ascomycota
Description: eukaryotic LSU rRNA
Rfam family: 5.8S ribosomal RNA (bases 178-331)
Source: RNAcentral